This 200-nucleotide unclassified non-coding RNA is filed under the name soil metagenome. RNAcentral's name for it is "partial contains internal transcribed spacer 2 and large subunit ribosomal RNA". The record is from RNAcentral.
UGGGGGGCUCAUUUUUGCAGGCUUUCUUCUCAAGCCUGCUCCCCUGAAAUGCAUUAGUGGUAUCUGGAGCGGAAACCGCUAGGUGUGAUAAUUAAUCGUCUACGCCUUUGGUAUGCCGCACGAAACAGAUUGUGCUGCUUCCAACACGCACUUUUGACAAACUUGACCUCAAAUCAGGUAGGACUACCCGCUGAACUUAA